ACCACAUUUUGUCAAAAUAGCAAUAGAAGUUGAACUGGGGGAAUGAUGACUUUGAAUGAUGACUAACGGUGUUUGCGAGAUGGUUAGGGGUUAUAAGCUGUUGGUUGGAAAAUGUCAAUGAAUGGAAGGUUUUCUGAGAGACUAACUGGAGAGGCAUAUCUUAAUCGGGAUUUUGAAGCUUUGAGAGUGUCUCGGCGGCUUGUGAGAAGUGUUAGUCAGAAGUUGAAGAAAACAAACAACAGAUUUGAAGGAGAUGCGGAGGAUGAUGCGAGGGGGAUUUCUGCAAAAUGUCUUCCUUUAUAUGGCAGGGGGGGGGGUUG
This 320-nucleotide unclassified non-coding RNA is filed under the name Hevea brasiliensis (rubber tree). The record is from RNAcentral. Lineage: Eukaryota; Viridiplantae; Streptophyta; Magnoliopsida; Malpighiales; Euphorbiaceae.